This 221-nucleotide long non-coding RNA is filed under the name Glycine max (soybean). RNAcentral's name for it is "long non-coding RNA (GMAX_LNC001640)". The record is from RNAcentral. Lineage: Eukaryota; Viridiplantae; Streptophyta; Magnoliopsida; Fabales; Fabaceae.
CUCUCUCCAAUGGUAAGUUCCUUCAACAAUCUGUUUCUUCAUCUUAAGCAACAGGGUAAGAAACCCCAUUACAGAUGGCCUAAGUCUCAAGAUUGAUGAACUUUUUCAAUUUUCUUAAUCAGCCAAGUCAAAAAGCUCUCCCUUAUUGAGCCGUUCAAGCUUCAUGCUCUUGGCUUGUAAGUUGUUACCCUCUACUAUGUAUGUACAAUGGAGUGCACUUU